Molecule: small RNA, 357 nt
Filed under: Arabidopsis thaliana (thale cress)
Lineage: Eukaryota; Viridiplantae; Streptophyta; Magnoliopsida; Brassicales; Brassicaceae
Description: ATSL248590
Source: RNAcentral
AAUUUGAAAAGUAGUCACUUUACUAUUCAUAAUUUGCAAAAUAGUCACUUUUCACUGUUUGAUUCGUACACUUAGAUUGUACACCAUUUUUAGUGUACAGAUGUAUAUAAAAAAUACACAGCGUACACUUUACAUUUGUACACUAAAAGUGAUGUAAUCCAAGUGUACGAAUCAAACAGUGAAAAGUGACUACUUUGCAAAUUAUGAAUAGUAAAGUGACUACUUUCCUAAUUAAGUUUGAAAAAGUGACUAUUUUGCCAAUACACCCAUUAAUAAUAAUGCGAUGCUAUUUCACGACGUACUUAUCCAAAACAUAUAACGUUAACAAACAACUAAAGGGACCACUAUCAUUAUUGC